RNAcentral lists this ribosomal RNA (1306 nucleotides) under Neobenedenia melleni. RNAcentral describes it as "bacterial SSU rRNA". The stretch from base 287 to 1306 matches the Rfam family "Eukaryotic small subunit ribosomal RNA", at positions 1 to 1522 of the family's 1831-position model. Lineage: Eukaryota; Metazoa; Platyhelminthes; Monogenea; Capsalidea; Capsalidae. The record is from RNAcentral.
AGCGGGAGCGCUAAGCGAGCAUCUGCCAGUAUGUUUUCAUUUACCAGGAGCGAAAGUCAGAGGUUCGAAGACGAUCAGAUACCGUCCUAGUUCUGACCAUAAACGAUGCCAUCUGAUAAUCCGUGGUCUCUCCAUUCACGUGGGAUCACGGGCAGUCCCCGGGAAACCUGUAAGUUUAUGGGUUCCGGGGAAAGUAUGGUUGCAAAGCUGAAACUUAAAGGAAUUGACGGAAGGGCACCACCAGGAGUGGAGCUUGCGGCUUAAUUUGACUCAACACGGGAAAACUCACCCGGGCCGGACACUAUGUGGAUUGACAGAUUGAUAGCUCUUUCAUGAUUCGGUGGUUAGUGGUGCAUGGCCGUUCUUAGUUCGUGGUAUGAGUUGUCUGGUUAAUUCCGUUAACGAACGAGACUCCACCCUGCUAAUUAGUGCGCAGAUCAACUUAUUUGGUGUCUUUUUGUGUCCAGAGUAGGGCAUGUAGAAUCAUUUAAGUCUGUGAUGCUACUUAGAGGCACAGGUGGAUAAGCUAAAACCACAUGAAAAGGAGCAAUAACAGGUCUGUGAUGCCCUUAGAUGUCCGGGGCCGCACGCGUGCUACAAUGAUAGUGGUAGAGAGUCUGCUCUUCUAGCUCGAAAGGGUGGGGUUAAACUAAUUGCGCGAGAGGUGAAAUUCAUGGACCGUUGCCAGACAACCUAAAGCGAAAGCAUCUGCCAAGUAUGUUUUCAUUUACCAGGAGCGAAAGUCAGAGGUUCGAAGACGAUCAGAUACCGUCCUAGUUCUGACCAUAAACGAUGCCAUCUGAUAAUCCGUGGUCUCUCCAUUCACGUGGGAUCACGGGCAGUCCCCGGGAAACCUGUAAGUUUAUGGGUUCCGGGGAAAGUAUGGUUGCAAAGCUGAAACUUAAAGGAAUUGACGGAAGGGCACCACCAGGAGUGGAGCUUGCGGCUUAAUUUGACUCAACACGGGAAAACUCACCCGGGCCGGACACUAUGUGGAUUGACAGAUUGAUAGCUCUUUCAUGAUUCGGUGGUUAGUGGUGCAUGGCCGUUCUUAGUUCGUGGUAUGAGUUGUCUGGUUAAUUCCGUUAACGAACGAGACUCCACCCUGCUAAUUAGUGCGCAGAUCAACUUAUUUGGUGUCUUUUUGUGUCCAGAGUAGGGCAUGUAGAAUCAUUUAAGUCUGUGAUGCUACUUAGAGGCACAGGUGGAUAAGCUAAAACCACAUGAAAAGGAGCAAUAACAGGUCUGUGAUGCCCUUAGAUGUCCGGGGCCGCACGCGUGCUACAAUGAUAGUGUAGAAGAUUUU